GCCCUUCGGGGUGGAUUAGUGGCGAACGGGUGAGUAACACGUGGGCAAUCUGCCCUGCACUCUGGGACAAGCCCUGGAAACGGGGUCUAAUACCGGAUAUGACCAUCUUGGGCAUCCUUGAUGGUGUAAAGCUCCGGCGGUGCAGGAUGAGCCCGCGGCCUAUCAGCUUGUUGGUGAGGUAAUGGCUCACCAAGGCGACGACGGGUAGCCGGCCUGAGAGGGCGACCGGCCACACUGGGACUGAGACACGGCCCAGACUCCUACGGGAGGCAGCAGUGGGGAAUAUUGCACAAUGGGCGAAAGCCUGAUGCAGCGACGCCGCGUGAGGGAUGACGGCCUUCGGGUUGUAAACCUCUUUCAGCAGGGAAGAAGCGAAAGUGACGGUACCUGCAGAAGAAGCGCCGGCUAACUACGUGCCAGCAGCCGCGGUAAUACGUAGGGCGCAAGCGUUGUCCGGAAUUAUUGGGCGUAAAGAGCUCGUAGGCGGCUUGUCACGUCGAUUGUGAAAGCUCGGGGCUUAACCCCGAGUCUGCAGUCGAUACGGGCUAGCUAGAGUGUGGUAGGGGAGAUCGGAAUUCCUGGUGUAGCGGUGAAAUGCGCAGAUAUCAGGAGGAACACCGGUGGCGAAGGCGGAUCUCUGGGCC
RNAcentral lists this ribosomal RNA (644 nucleotides) under Streptomyces sp. RNAcentral describes it as "bacterial SSU rRNA". It matches the Rfam family "Bacterial small subunit ribosomal RNA", at positions 75 to 735 of the family's 1533-position model. The record is from RNAcentral. Lineage: Bacteria; Bacillati; Actinomycetota; Actinomycetes; Kitasatosporales; Streptomycetaceae.